This 253-nucleotide ribosomal RNA is filed under the name uncultured bacterium. RNAcentral describes it as "partial 16S ribosomal RNA". It matches the Rfam family "Bacterial small subunit ribosomal RNA", at positions 524 to 776 of the family's 1533-position model. The record is from RNAcentral.
UACGGAGGAUGAAAGCGUUAUCCGGAAUUAUUGGGCGUAAAGCGCCCGUAGGUGGUUGAGUAAGUCUGCUGUUAAAGCGUGGAGCUUAACUCCAUACCGGCAGUGGAAACUACUGGACUAGAGUGCGGUAGGGGUCAGGGGAAUUCCCAGUGUAGCGGUGAAAUGCGUAGAUAUUGGGAAGAACACCGGUGGCGAAAGCGCCUGACUGAGCCUGCACUGACACUGAGGGACGAAAGCUAUGGGAGCGUAAGGG